CCAACUGCCAAGGCAAAUAGAAGAGCUUUAGCAGCAACUGAAAGUACAUAAAUCCCAGGCAGUGAGACCGUUGGCUACAUCACGCUGUGUGGAAAACCACCCUCUGGACGGGAGUGGGAGAGCCGUGGCUAACGCAGAGGGUCAGCAAGUUUACUAUCACUUUCCUUAUCACACCAGCAGAAUGGGAAUGUCCCACAGCACGGCUGCAGCCACGGCUUCCACACCACGUUGUACACAGAGAGCUGCUCUGGGACCGGAGUCAGUGUCCUGCGAUGCUCUUCGAUGGCUCUUCCAAUCGUCCUUAUGACAGUGCCAAAGAGGGGCUCAGUGUCAGCCGAGAGAGAUAGAAAACUUCUGGAUUGAAGCUCCACUUUCUGCUAUUGCAAACCACAACUAUGCCACUGAAGUGAAGGCAGCAGGUUCAUCUCCUGCCAGCUGCUGCCCACGUACCAGACUGUAUGAUAAGGCUAAACCACAGCUCUGCUUUUCCUUCUCUGGCCCACACAUGCAUUUCUGAAUUAGCUGCUAUUCCUUAAAGCUGCAAUGUUGGUCUCAUUGAUAGAUAUACAUAUUUCCCCAAUAUAGUCCAGAAAUAUUCAGUCCAACACACGGAAAUUUGGACAUUUUAUCAGCUUUAGUGAAGCAAGGAAUAAGGGACAUCCUUAAACAACAGCUAAUUUUUUGGUUUAAUGAUACCACAUAAAUAUUGAUAUUAUUUAAAAUUAAUAAGCUUAAUAAUACUUAUAAUCCUAUAUGAUAUUAUAAAAAUUACAAAACACUCACAUGGCAAAGUGCUGUUUAAAAGUUGCAAGAUGUUCAAGAAAAUUUGUGAUCAAAGAAAAACCACUUUACCUUUCAAUAAAUGAAAUGGACUCUCUCAAGAUAAGGGAUGUAGUUCUGUCUGUCACCAUUGGCUGCUCAGUAACUUCAUGGUUUCUCAUCAUAAUGCAGUUCCAGUAGCGAACAAACCCAUAACUUGAGAACCAGGAUACAAAGAACAGGAGACUAAACCCAACAAGGCAGGUCAGUGUUUUCCAGUGGACUGGAAUCAAGCCAGUCAUUCUUCCCAGGGCAGCAGUGAGUGCAAUGAGGCCAAUCAUUUGAGUAGAAAGCCAGAGUUUCCUUCUAAAAGCUCUGUCCAUCUCCGGUGUUUCUGUUGGUUGGCAGUCACUUAUUAGCGUAAAAGGCAUCCCGUAAAAAUAGUCAAAUCCAUGAUUUAAAGGGUGAUGGCAAUGGUCAUUGCGGGAUUCACAGUUAACACCUUGAUGCCACUUCCCUGAAAAUGUAGAUUUUUAAAACGUAAAGAGAAAAUAUAUAAAAAAAUUUUUUCCUCAUACAAAAUAUUUCUCCAAAAUGGUUGGUUUCAUUCUGCUGGUGAUGACUUCUUCAUCCUACACAGAAAUAUACUGAGUAUGUAGUGAUAUAAUGGGUUUGAUGAAAUCAAACCUCUACCAACAGUUAUUGGUGCUCUGCACACAUAUUCAUGCCCUUAAGCUUUUAUCAAAUAUAAAAAAAAUGGAUUAUAAAGGGAACUAGAAAUCGAGAAAAAUUCAGAACUGAGCAAAAAUAUAUGGCUUUUCUGGAGACCUAUCAGGUAAAGUAGGGGGAAGCUGUCCUUUUUUAAGCACAGGACAAAAUAACACUGUUCUGUUGUCUCUUUACCUUCAAGGUGCUAUGCAGACUUGUUUCUGAAAAGCUUUGAAGAGCUUGAUGUCAGGACUGUGGCAACACUCAUUGUUGGUGCCAGACCGAUAAGGGAGGCUAUGGAGAGUAGUCAAAUAACUGGCAGCUCAGCUGUCUGUUUUGCCAGAUAAACCACCAGAUCCUGAAAAACUUGAGCUCAGGAGAUCAGGAUUUCUCAUGAAACUCUACAUGUGAUGGAUUAAUUCUGACAGAUUCGUAAAGAAGCUUUCCCAUACAUGACUCUUUCUACACCUCGACUGGAGGGAAUGGAUACACAUCUGCACAGAUCUACUCUGCUCCCUGCAGGGCUGAACUGUUUCUGACAUAUGAUGAGGAGACACCCAUGGCAGAAAUUAAUAUAACUGGUGCUUUAGAAAUGUGUCAUUGUUGUUAUUCAUGUUUUGUGUAAUGACUUCUUUGAAUGUAACGAUUUGCUCUAACUUCAUUCUGGCUGCAAUUUAUACGAUAGAGCACCAAAAGGCAACCAAAAUUGUGAGUUGGGGGGACCAACAUGCUCUGCAGAGCUGUUUUUUCUCUUCUCUGCUUUCCCCCCAAUCAGUUGGAUGUACUCCAUAAAUAUAGAUGCCACCUCCAAGGUUCUAGGCCUGGCUGGUGUCUUGUGGGUCUCAGUGAGGGAUGAUGUGUCUGUGGCACCCCUUCUAUUUGCACACCCUCAUUUUUUUUUUGGUGCCCAUUGUAUGACAUUGUUCUCUACAGUAAUAAAGCAAUGUUUAAAGGCUGCUUGGCUUUGCGAGGCAAACCUGAUCGGAGGGGAUAUCUGCCAGUGAGGAAAGCUGCUCUGCUGGGGGUGCAAAGUGGAGCCGCAGCAAUGUGUUGGGUCAGCUUCACUCCUUCCUUUGCCAGGCGAUCAAUGUUCGGGGUCCUAAAAAUGCAACCAGCACCAUCAGAUAUCAUUCAGAGGGUUUUUCAAGGGAAUAAAGAAUUUUAUAUUUAUCUUUA
Long non-coding RNA from Pseudopipra pipra, 2643 nucleotides. RefSeq lists it as uncharacterized. The transcript has 4 exons. The record is from RefSeq and is a predicted model, not a curated record. Lineage: Eukaryota; Metazoa; Chordata; Aves; Passeriformes; Pipridae.